GUGCCAGCAGCCGCGCGGUAAUACGAAGGGACCUAGCGUAGUUCGGAAUUACUGGGCUUAAAGAGUUCGUAGGUGGUUAAAAAAGUUGGUGGUGAAAUCCCAGAGCUUAACUCUGGAACUGCCAUCAAAACUUUUUAGCUAGAGUAUGAUAGAGGAAAGCAGAAUUUCUAGUGUAGAGGUGAAAUUCGUAGAUAUUAGAAAGAAUACCAAUUGCGAAGGCAGCUUUCUGGAUCAUUACUGACACUGAGGAACGAAAGCAUGGGUAGCGAAGAGGAUUAGAUACCCUCGUAGUCCAUGCCGUAAACGAUGUGUGUUAGACGUUGGAAAUUUAUUUUCAGUGUCGCAGCGAAAGCGAUAACACACCGCCUGGGGAGUACGACCGCAAGGUUAAAACUCAAAUGAAUUGACGGGGGCCCGCACAAGUAGUGGAGCAUGUGGUUUAAUUCGAAGAUACGCGCAGAACCUUACCAACACUUGACAUGUUCGUCGCGACUCUAAGAGAUUAGAGUUUUCGGUUCGGCCGGACGAAACACAGGUGCUGCAUGGCUGUCGUCAGCUCGUGUCGUGAGAUGUUGGGUUAAGUCCCGCAACGAGCGCAACCCUCACUUUUAGUUGCCAUCAUUUAGUUGGGCACUCUGAAAGAACUGCCAGUGAUAAGCUGGAGGAAGGUGGGGAUGACGUCAAGUCCUCAUGGCCCUUACGUGUUGGGCUACACACGUGCUACAAUGGCAUCUACAAUAGGAAGCAAGAUGGCGACAUCAAGCAAAUCCUAAAAAGAUGCCUCAGUUCGGAUUGCACUCUGCAACUCGAGUGCAUGAAGCUGGAAUUACUAGUAAUCGCGGAUCAGCGCGCCGCGGUGAAUACGUUCCCGGGUCUUGCACACACCGCCCGUCA
RNAcentral lists this ribosomal RNA (894 nucleotides) under uncultured bacterium. RNAcentral's name for it is "bacterial SSU rRNA". It matches the Rfam family "Bacterial small subunit ribosomal RNA", at positions 505 to 1399 of the family's 1533-position model. The record is from RNAcentral.